Molecule: long non-coding RNA, 346 nt
Organism: Bos indicus x Bos taurus (hybrid cattle)
Lineage: Eukaryota; Metazoa; Chordata; Mammalia; Artiodactyla; Bovidae
Source: Ensembl
UUACAUCUGUGCCCUCUUUAUUCCCUUUCUACUUCUCCUGCCUCAUCUCAUAUUUGAUCAUGUAUCUUUCUUGCUAGAAUCCCCCUGCUGUGUCUUCCUGCCUCUUUUCUGGCACCGCUCUCCUGGUGUUCGCACUCGGUGAGGACAUAGUUAGAAUUGUAAACAUGGCCACAGAUUGGAUAUGGGAGUCAAAUGCGAAGAGGAGGUCAUAUUCACUCCAAGGUGCCAGCAAGCUUUCGGAAGGACAGAACAACCUAAUGUGUCCUGUUACCACUGGCUCAGAUGAUGGGUACCUAUUGCCUCGUUUCCAGAUGAAGCAAGCUGUCGUGGGCGUUAAUGGUACUUC